UUACGGUCAAAUCACGCUGAAAACACCGGUUCUCGUUCGAUCACCGAAGUUAAGCAUCGUAGAGCCAGGUCAGUACUUUUAGAUGGGGGACCGCUUGGGAACACCUGGUACUGUAAG
Molecule: non-coding RNA, 117 nt
Organism: Acanthosepion pharaonis
Lineage: Eukaryota; Metazoa; Mollusca; Cephalopoda; Sepiida; Sepiidae
Source: the annotation of a GenBank genome assembly